RNAcentral lists this ribosomal RNA (254 nucleotides) under uncultured bacterium. Its description in RNAcentral is "partial 16S ribosomal RNA". It matches the Rfam family "Bacterial small subunit ribosomal RNA", at positions 524 to 776 of the family's 1533-position model. The record is from RNAcentral.
UACGGGGGGAGCAAGCGUUGUUCGGAUUUACUGGGCGUAAAGGGCGCGUAGGCGGUCAGCACAAGUCAGUUGUGAAAUCUCCGGGCUUAACUCGGAAAGGUCAACUGAUACUGUGCGACUAGAGUGCAGAAGGGGCAACUGGAAUUCUCGGUGUAGCGGUGAAAUGCGUAGAUAUCAAGAGGAACACCUGCGGCGAAGGCGGGUUGCUGGGCCGACACUGACGCUGAUGCGCGAAAGCUAGGGGAGCGAACGGG